GCCUAUACAUGCAGUUGAGCGCUGAAGGUUGGUACUUGUACCAACUGGAUGAGCAGCGAACGGGUGAGUAACGCGUGGGGAAUCUGCCUUUGAGCGGGGGACAACAUUUGGAAACGAAUGCUAAUACCGCAUAAAAACUUUAAACACAAGUUUUAAGUUUGAAAGAUGCAAUUGCAUCACUCAAAGAUGAUCCCGCGUUGUAUUAGCUAGUUGGUGAGGUAAAGGCUCACCAAGGCGAUGAUACAUAGCCGACCUGAGAGGGUGAUCGGCCACAUUGGGACUGAGACACGGCCCAAACUCCUACGGGAGGCAGCAGUAGGGAAUCUUCGGCAAUGGACGAAAGUCUGACCGAGCAACGCCGCGUGAGUGAAGAAGGUUUUCGGAUCGUAAAACUCUGUUGGUAGAGAAGAACGUUGGUGAGAGUGGAAAGCUCAUCAAGUGACGGUAACUACCCAGAAAGGGACGGCUAACUACGUGCCAGCAGCCGCGGUAAUACGUAGGUCCCGAGCGUUGUCCGGAUUUAUUGGGCGUAAAGCGAGCGCAGGUGGUUUAUUAAGUCUGGUGUAAAAGGCAGUGGCUCAACCAUUGUAUGCAUUGGAAACUGGUAGACUUGAGUGCAGGAGAGGAGAGUGGAAUUCCAUGUGUAGCGGUGA
Molecule: ribosomal RNA, 653 nt
Filed under: Lactococcus lactis
Lineage: Bacteria; Bacillati; Bacillota; Bacilli; Lactobacillales; Streptococcaceae
Description: bacterial SSU rRNA
Rfam family: Bacterial small subunit ribosomal RNA
Source: RNAcentral